This 436-nucleotide ribosomal RNA is filed under the name uncultured bacterium. RNAcentral describes it as "bacterial SSU rRNA". It matches the Rfam family "Bacterial small subunit ribosomal RNA", at positions 28 to 477 of the family's 1533-position model. The record is from RNAcentral.
GACGAACGCUGGCGGCGUGCCUAACACAUGCAAGUCGAACGGGGUGAUAUCCUUCGGGAGAUCACUUAGUGGCGAACGGGUGAGUAACGCGUGAGAAACCUGCCUUUCAGUGGGGGACAACAGUUGGAAACGACUGCUAAUACCGCAUAACGCAUUUAGGGGGCAUCCCUUGAAUGCCAAAGCUUUAUGUGCUGAAAGAUGGUCUCGCGUCUGAUUAGCUAGUUGGUGGGGUAACGGCUCACCAAGGCGACGAUCAGUAGCCGGUCUGAGAGGAUGAACGGCCACAUUGGGACUGAGAUACGGCCCAGACUCCUACGGGAGGCAGCAGUGGGGAAUAUUGGGCAAUGGGGGGAAACCCUGACCCAGCAACGCCGCGUGAAGGAAGAAGGCCUGGUUGUAACGUUCUUUUAGUCUAGGGACGAAGUACGUGACGGUA